This 253-nucleotide ribosomal RNA is filed under the name uncultured bacterium. RNAcentral describes it as "partial 16S ribosomal RNA". It matches the Rfam family "Bacterial small subunit ribosomal RNA", at positions 524 to 776 of the family's 1533-position model. The record is from RNAcentral.
UACGUAGGGUGCGAGCGUUAAUCGGAAUUACUGGGCGUAAAGCGUGCGCAGGCGGUUGUGCAAGACAGAUGUGAAAUCCCCGGGCUCAACCUGGGAACUGCAUUUGUGACUGCACGACUGGAGUGCGGCAGAGGGGGAUGGAAUUCCGCGUGUAGCAGUGAAAUGCGUAGAUAUGCGGAGGAACACCGAUGGCGAAGGCAAUCCCCUGGGCCUGCACUGACGCUCAUGCACGAAAGCGUGGGGAGCAAACAGG